This is a non-coding RNA of Aegilops tauschii subsp. strangulata, 2305 nucleotides long. The record is from RefSeq and is a predicted model, not a curated record. NCBI's taxonomy places the organism in Eukaryota, Viridiplantae, Streptophyta, Magnoliopsida, Poales, Poaceae.
CUAGAGGCCCCCCGCCGCCGUGGAAACCCAAAAGGGGGAAGAGUUCGCCACCGCGUGUGCUCUACCGUAAAGCUAGUCACGGAUGGUCGCAGAAGGAAUGGAGUUCCUACUGGAUGCGGUUGACAGGUUCCCGGUGCGGGAGGAGUUUGCUGACAGUCUUGACAACCCAGAUCCGGUCCCGCUCGCGUACCUUCUGGAGAAGGGCGGUGCAAAUCCGGAGUUUGGACGGGGAGAAGACCACUCUGGGAUUGCUGAUAUCCUGUGCGACGGUGUGCUAACUGACGCCCAAGGGGGUGCCCAUCAACGGCGUGUUGAGUCUCCGAUGAGGUCGGCCCAAUCGACGGGCAGGGUUAAUCCAGAGGCCCCGGGCUGGACCAAAAGGCUUCGUCUUGGAAGUGCGCCACCUGACCGUGUGCCAUGUCCAUCAAGAAUGAGCGCUCUAGAGCUGUCGAUAAGGAAAUAUGCUGAGCAACCUGACAAGAGCGUGGUGCGACCUGAGCUAGGGCUUAGUUUCGAUUCGUUAGGAGAGACGUAUGAUUUCUACAACUUAUAUUCAUGGAAAAUUGGAUUUGGGAUAAGAUAUGGGAAAAGCAGGCUGAACGCCGAGAGAACAAAAAGCAUGCAGAAGAUAGUAUAUGCGGUUGCUCGGUGAGUAUCUGUUUGCUUGUAUGUAUAAUAAGAAGCGGCAGUGUACUGGUUGGUGUUCCAACCUGAAGUUGAUGAAUUUGAAUCAGCUUGGGGGGCACUGCUGGACAAGUACAACUUGAGGUCUCAUAGCUAUAUGACACAAAUAUACGAGACAAGGAAAAAAUGGGCAAAGCCAUAUUUCAGGGGUGUGUUCUGUGCGAAGAUGACAAGUACCCAGCGAAGUGAGAGCGCAAACCACAUGCUGAAAUCUUACAUGACGCCUGCGAGCCGAAUGCAUGUUUUCGUCUGGCAAUACACGAGACUUCAAUUUGACCGGGAACGCGACGAAAGCUAUGAGGAAAAGAGGACCAUGAUUGUAAGUAGUUUUCUGCCAUUACGAAUCUUUUCGCUAUGAAUUUGCUGCUGCUUGGUAGAUUGUGCUCGUGGAAUGACUAAUACCGCCUGGAAAAUUUCCUUGUUGGCAGGGAGGCGCCGUCCGGCGGACUAACCUUGCGAUUGAGCGGCACACCAGCAAAAUAUAUACCAGGAAUAUGUUUGAGGAAUUUGGCCGGCUGCUUUUAGAAGGGACGGCAUACAACGUCACUGAAGUUGAGAGGAUGAAGAAAUACAUCACAACACACAAUAAUGCAGGCAAGAGAGAGAAGUGGAGCAGAGUGGAAUAUGAGGUGACCAUCAACGAUGACAAAUCAAUAUUCACGUGCGAGUGUGGUCAGUUUGAACACACAAGGAUGCUUUGCUGCCAUGCCUUAAGGGUGAGGUGAUGGAGAUUCUACAUUUGGACGAGAUUCCGAAGCACCAUAUCCUUAAACGGUGGACAAGAGACGCAAGGGAUAUACUCCUAGAUCACCUGGUUCAGUACCAGAAGGACAAAGCACAUAAUUUGUCUUUCACAUGCAGACACGCGAGGCUAUACUUUAAGGCCAUGGAGGUAGUGCGAAUGGGGGACGCAAGCACUGCAUGCUAUGAGCACAUGCAUGCUGGCCUGGAUUCUCUUCUACGUUCUGGAGCACCUCUGGCGGUCACAAGGGACGGUUUGGCUUUCGAGGAUCGUCUCAUUCAAAAUGGAAAUGGCUGUCAGGCUGCGAAUGGCGAGCCUGCUUUGGUUGAUCAUGGAGCUGAACCAUGCCACAGUGCUGCGAAUUCUGUAAAUGCGAAUGCCCUGCAGUGCCUCGAGGCUCCAGACAAGCGUAGAGGUGCUGGCAGGCCGACGAACAGUAGGGAGAAGGCCCCGUACGAAGGGCUGAGUAAGAGAACCAGGUUCUGCAGCAUUUGCUGCCGUGAGGGUCACGAGAGGAGCACAUGCCCAGAGAGAGGGGAUGCGCCAAAGAAGUCGCGGAAACCCGGCAGAUGCAAGAACUGCGGCAUAGAAGGGCAUCGGCGGGAUACAUGCAAGAGGCCUCUUGGGUUUGCCGAGAGCUGAGUUGUGCAAUUUUUGGGUUGCAUCAGUUGAGGUUACCUGUUUCCUUUGAGGCUAAACAUACAGUCUGCACCUGUUGAGCGUUGCUUGCGCAUUGCAUCCAGUUUCCUUUAAUAAUGUGUGCUGACAAAAAACUUUUUACGACUGAGGAACUUUGUGGCUAUAUGUAAUGAUAUGAACCUGUAUCGCCGAUCAUGUAAGAAUGUUUUAUUGCUGUGUGAACAUUUGAAUUUAACUGCA